UCAAACUACAGUCCUGAGCCAUAUGACCUGAAAGGACUAUAUAUACAAAGGUGGUCCAGAAGAUUAUAAUCCUGUAUUUUUUCCUGUACCUUUUGUACGCUUAGACGUGUUCAGAUACACAAACAUUUUCCAUUGUGUUACAACGGCCUAUAGUAUUCAGUAUAGUGACCUGCUAUACAGGUUCGUACCUAGGAGCAGUAAGCUGUCUAUAUCAUAUAUCAUAUCUAUAUCACAUAGUGGGCUAUACCAUUGAGCCUACUAUGUACCUGGGCUGUAUGUUAGUAUUUAGGUUUGUGUGAAAUAUACAGCCAGGUGAUUUUUGUAUUUAGGUUUGUGUAAAAUAUACUAUGAUGCUUGCACAACAGUGAAAUCAUCUACACAUUUCUCAGAACCUCUUUUUUUCUUUUCUUUUUCUUUUUCUUUUUAUACAAAAUUUAGCUGGGCGUGGUGGGCGCCUGUAAUCCCAGCUACUCGAGCUCUCCCUCUCCCUCUCUCUCCACGGUCUCCCUCUGAUGCCGAGCCGAAGCUGGACUGUACUGCUGCCAUCUCGGCUCACUGCAAGCUCCCUGCCUGAUUCUCCUGCCUCAGCCUGCCGAGUGCCUGCGAUUGCAGGCGCGCGCUGCCAUGCCUGACUGGUUUCCAAACAAAGCACAUCAGCAGACUGCACUUAGCCUGGGGCCGGCCACGUGCCACCCUGCUGUUGCAGCUGUCUCUAAGGACUGCGCUGUCCUCUGCCUGUCUAAAGACCCUGGGGAACUCUGGGUCUGGUGGCCAAAGGGGAGUCACCUCAGUGAACAACAGCUCCUUCAGCCCAUUGAUAUGAAUAAUUAAUUUCUGCGUGCUCACUGCCAGCCCACAAAGGUUACCAACAAGCUCGGCAUUCAGGAAGCCACUCUGUGCCCUCUGAGACAAUGAGGACAGGCGUGGGGGGAUCCUAGGGGUGUUCAGGGAGCCCCAUAAUGAAGCCCAGCAUGGUGAGCUGUGCUCAGCCCAGAAAGAGCUGUGUUCCAAUCCUGGCUCUGUCCUUUGUGAGCUGUGUGACUACAGACCAGUGACUCAAUGUCUCUAGACUUGUUAAUAUAGAAUGAGAAGAAUGAUCCUUAGUCUCAUGGGAACAUACUGAUUAAAGUAUGUGUGUAACCUACACUUCUGCUCAACAUUCGGCAUGCCAAAACCAUCUCAUUAUAGUCAGCUGUCCCCAAAUUACAAAUGGACGAUUUCAAACUUUGGCCGAUGAGUCUGUUCUUUAUGAUUUGAAAUAAUGCUGUAAGUGAUGAGUAGGUCACCAAGAUGGGCCCCCAAGUCCAGUGAACAGAGACCUUGGAAAACUGCAGUGUACUUCUAGACUUCUCUGAAUUCCUUAUACAUUCCAAAUGUGCAAAAUCCCCAAGGAAAUCGCGUUUUUCAGAGAGCUGAGCAAUCAGAUCUUUAGGCCUUCCACCCUCACAAAUGAAGUUAAUAUACUACUAGGUCAAUGACAUCAGGAACACAAUAGGUUUGCAUGGUGCUUAAUUCUAGUAUCCUUUUCUAUCUGUUUGUUUGUUUGUUUGUUUGUUUGUAACAGAGUCUCAAUCAGGUUACAGAUGAAUCAGGUUCAGGUAACAUGACUACUUAGUAGGAAAUUCAUUUCCCAUAAAGAUUAAAAAUAAAAAGUCUCAGGGCCAAGUGUGGUGGCUCAUAUCUGUAAUCUCAGCACUUGUGGAGGCCAAGGAGCGAGGAUCACUUGAGCCCGGGAGUUCUAGACGAGCCUGGGGAACAUAGUGAGACGUGCACAUGUAUGUACAUGUGCAGGUGUCUGUGUAUGCAUGUAUGUGGCAGUGUGCCAUGUAUAUACGUGUGCAGGUGUGUAUGUGUGUGCAUGCAUGUAUGUGGCACUGUGCCAUGUGUAUACGUGUAGGUGUGCAGUGGCAGUGUGUCACGUAUAUACAUGUGCUGCUGUGCGUGUGUGUGCAUGCAUGUGACAGUGUACCAUGUGUAUACGUGUGCAGGUGUGUGUGUAUAUGUGUGCAUGCAUGUAUGUGGCAGUGUACCAUGUAUA
Molecule: long non-coding RNA, 2038 nt
Filed under: Homo sapiens (human)
Lineage: Eukaryota; Metazoa; Chordata; Mammalia; Primates; Hominidae
Description: non-protein coding lnc-BHLHA9-3:1
Source: RNAcentral